CGCGGGGAGGGCCAGCCGCGGAGAGCCCCGCGCGGCGGGACGCGGGGGAGCGCGGAGCAGGGCGGGGGCACCGGGCUCGCCACCGGGCCUCGGAACACGGGGAAGCGGCACGGCCGGGGCUGGCUGCCGGCCCUCGUCCUCCUGCAGCCGCAAUCCAGCGAGCGACAGCGGCGGUAUCGACCGGAGAUGAGGGAAGAAAAGAAGUAGAGGAAGGAUGCUACUGUUAAUGAAGAAAAAAAUAGUGUCCAUUUCAGGUGUAGUAGCUGUUAAAUAUAUAGGCAUAUGUGUGAUUAUAUGUGUGACGCAGUUAUAAAAAUGAAAGGCAUACCAUCUUUCCCCUUUGCCUUGAAAUACACUUUCUCCUACAUCAACAAGUAGUACAGGCUCUCUCCCCCUCUUCUCUCCCCCUCCUUCCUUCAGCCGGUCCUGACAAAAUACCAGUUAAAAAGGUCAGUCUGUUUAUGUAAAGAUCAGUGUUUCUUAACAAAGACUGCUGCACAUCAAGUCUGCAAUGACUAUCAAAUAGACUUUGGGACUCAAGAUACUCAAUAAGACUACUGUUCAUUUUCUAGAAUUGAUGAAAUCCCAGAGAAAACACAAGACAAAGAGACACAGAGUGUGAAUGGGAUAGAUCAACAAUGCCAGGUUUCGUGCUACCCCAAAUGAUGUCAUAGGCUGAACUUGUUCUUCAGUCAUUUCACACCAGAGAUAGUUUAAGUCAAGCAAGAAGAAUUUCCAGUCUGACCGACACCACCAAAAAAAAGAAAAUUAACUUAAUUACAGUUUGUCUCAGACCCUUCAUAGUUAGGUUCAUUCUUCAUUUAUCUAGAGUGCAGUAGAAACUGUCUGAUAUGUAUUUCACAGUUUCCAUUUCCCUCCUGAUAACUUCUUUAGUCAAGAGUAAUACAACUUUGGUUCCUCAAUUCAUAUCACUUCUUCUGGCCCUUUUUCUGCUUUAAAUCUAAUGAGGAUUUUUGAUAUUAUUCAUUUGUGCACAUUUGCUGAAUACCUAAAAGUUAAAAAAAUGUUGCCUUAGAAUAAUGACAUAGAUCUUCCAAUGAUGCCGGUUUGCAGAAUCAUACAAUCAUUAAGGUUGGAAAACACCUCCAAGAUACCUGGUCCAACCAUCACCCUGUUACCAAUGUCACCCCCUAAACCAUGUGCCUAAGCACUAUGUCCAAUCUUUCCUUAAACACCCCCAGGGAUGGUAACUCCACCACCUCCCUGAGCAACCCAUUCCAAUGCCUGACUGCUCUUUCUGAGAAGAAAUGUCUCCUCAUUUCCAACCUAAACCUCCCCUGGCACAACUUGGGGCCAUUCCCUCUAGUCCUAAAGCUAGUUAUCUGUGAGAAGAGGCCGACACCCAGCUCCCCACACCUUCCUUUCAGGUAGUUGCAGAGAUGAAUAAGGUCUCCCCUGAGCCUCUUCUCGACUAAACAACCCCAGUUCCCUCAGCUGCUCCUCACAGGACUUGUGUCCCAGACCCCUCACCAGCUUUGUAGCCCUUCUCUGGACAUGUUCCAGGGCCUCGAUGUCCUUCUUGUAGUGAGGGCCCCAAAGCUGAACGCAGUACUUGAGGUGCGGCCUCACCAGAGCAGAGUACAGGGGAAAAAUCAAUGCUGGCUACACUAUUCCUGAUAUAAGCCAGGAUGCUGUUGGCCUUCUUGGCCACACUGCUGGCUCAUGUUCAGGUGAGCAUUGACCGUCACCCCCAGAUCCUUUUCCUCUGCACAGCUUUCCAGCCACUCUGCCCCAAGCCUGUAGCACUGCAUGGGGUUGUGGCCAAAGUGCAGGACCUGGAACUUAGCUAUGUUGAACCUCAUCCCAUUGGCCUGUGCCCAUCAACCCAUCCUGUCCAGGUCCCUCUGCAGGGCCUUCCUACCCUCUGGCAGACUCACACUUCCCCUCAACUUGGUGUCAUCUGCAAACUUACUGAGGGUGCACUCAAUUCCCUCAUCUAAAUUUACAUCAAUAAAGAUAUUAAAGAGGAUGGGCCCCAACACUGAUCCCUGGGGAACACCACUGGUGACCGGUCUCUGGUUGCAUUUCACCACCACUCUCUGGGCCCAGUCACCCAGCCAGUUUUUAACUCAGCAAAGAGUGUACCUGUCCAAGCCAUGGGCUGCCACUUAGUCUCCAGUCAUAUGGGAUCUCUCCGGAUGACUAUGACCACUGAUAGAUGAUGGAAAGCGGCCCAGCAAUCACAUCUGCCAACUCCAUCUUGCCCCAUGACUUGUGACAGUCCAGGUGGAGCAGCCUGUCUCUAGCUGUUUCCACCUGAACUGUGGAGGGGUUCUUCUGCUCCCCGUACCAGACUUCUAGGUCGGGAGGCUGAGUACUCCGAAGAUAAGUGGUUUGGCUAGUAAAGACAGAUGCAAAGAAGGCAUUAAGAACCUCAGCUUUUUCCUUAUCCUCAGUAGUCAUGUUCCCCCUUGCAUCCAGCAAAGAAUGGAGAUUCUCCUUGGCCCUCCUCUUGCCAUCAAUAUAUUUAUAAAAACAUUUUUUGUUAUCCACCAACACCUAAUUGCCACCACAGUUCCAUUUUAGCCUUUAAAAUAGUCCUGAAGUAGGGUUGGAGUCUUGUAGAGUACUCUGAUGCCUUUUGUUCAAUGAUGGUAAUAAUCCAUGACCCUGUAAUAUAAUUGAUAUGAUACGAUAUGAUGUAUGAUAUGAUAUUACAAAAAUGUAUAAUAGUGCAGAAUACUGGAAUUGCAAGCAAUGGAACAAUGGCACUAAAGUACUUGAAUGGGGUAAGAACUUCUACCAUGAACUGGAAAUACUAAAUCCAAACUCAGACCUAGUCUCACCUGAGGAGCGAGACAGCACAGCAUCAUGUGAGAAUAGAGAGGCACAUUACGUCUGUCAGUCUUAAAAGCCAAGUGACACUGAAGUAUAGUUCAUUAGAUUCCUUUGUCCUGUUAAUCUACAUUCGGUAGUGCUGUGUAUGUGUAUUGGCAAAUGCACAUCUUAACAGUGUAUCCCAUAAAAUAUUUUUUUACUUCAUAUAAUCAGAUUUUUGACCCUCUGUCUUCCAGAACUAGCUCCAUGCUUCUUUUUAGAUACCAAAAAUACAUGCAAUUCAUUAAAUCAGUUCAGCAGUUACCCUUAGUUUGCAACAGGCAAACAUAUUAUGCAAACAACAAGGCCACCUUCUUGAAGUAGCUUCCUCUUCAAGCUAUAAUGAAUUCUCUGCAUGGUACUCUCCUGUAAAUUCCUCAUCUAAAAAUUCCAUCCACUACAUGUUUUGUCAGGGGAAACUACUUGACUUUUGAAACAGUUGGGAAGAGCAAAAUGAUAACCUACUGAAGUCCCUUGCCCUUAACUGAACUAACGGCAAAGUAAUUAAAGCUAAAGCAAAAAGGCUUCAAUUUUGGACUCCUCAUAUUCUAAGAAUUGCAUGUUUUGACAUGGGUGAGGUAUUUUUUAGAAGUCUGAUUUGAAUGUCAAAUUUGCAUAUUCAGCUAGAAAGCAUAGGGAAUGCUUAAUUGUCUAUGUCCAAGUGUUCAUAUUUUGCUUUGACAACAAUGUGUCAGAUAUUCCUGGGUUUCAUUUUCUGUUACUAUUUAAGUGCAUCCAUAAAUUGAACUUAUAUCUAAAUAAGUCCUGUGUUUGCUCACUAUAGAAAUAAAUACGCUACAUUUAGAAUUUUACUUCACAGACACAUUUCAACAUAUAUGCUUUUAUUUAAAUGG
Molecule: long non-coding RNA, 3692 nt
Organism: Cygnus atratus (black swan)
Lineage: Eukaryota; Metazoa; Chordata; Aves; Anseriformes; Anatidae
Exons: 3
Source: RefSeq, a predicted model, not a curated record